Molecule: non-coding RNA, 320 nt
Organism: Labrus bergylta (ballan wrasse)
Lineage: Eukaryota; Metazoa; Chordata; Actinopteri; Labriformes; Labridae
Source: RefSeq, a predicted model, not a curated record
GUGGGUGUCGUCCUAUUAGGGAGUUGUCUGAAUAGAUCCGAGUAGCAGGACCGGGACAGACCGGAGCAGAGAGGAACAUCAGAGGGUCACCGAGCCGCCGUCUGCCCGCGACUUUAAUCCAACGUUACUGAUAAAACACUUUAUUCAGGUUAAAACCCGGAAGUUAGCUCAGUUAGCUGCUAACGGCUAGUCAGCCUACCUGCUCAAAGGGAAGUGACGGUGCAGGUGAAGUCGGGCUCGAGCCGCAGGUUUGCUUUCAUCUCUGUACUCAGACAGCAGAAGAAGAUGAGUGGAGGACUGAACAGCAUCGAUGCUGUGAA